CGCCAGACUCCUACGGGAGGCAGCAGUGGGGAAUAUUGCACAAUGGGGGAAACCCUGAUGCAGCGACGCCGCGUGAGUGAAGAAGUAUUUCGGUAUGUAAAGCUCUAUCAGCAGGGAAGAAAAUGACGGUACCUGACUAAGAAGCCCCGGCUAACUACGUGCCAGCAGCCGCGGUAAUACGUAGGGGGCAAGCGUUAUCCGGAUUUACUGGGUGUAAAGGGAGCGUAGACGGCAUGGCAAGUCAGAUGUGAAAGCCCGGGGCUCAACCCCGGGACUGCAUUUGAAACUGUCAGGCUGGAGUGCAGGAGAGGUAAGUGGAAUUCCUAGUGUAGCGGUGAAAUGCGUAGAUAUUAGGAGGAACACCAGUGGCGAAGGCGGCUUACUGGACUGUAACUGACGUUGAGGCUCGAAAGCGUGGGGAGCAAACAGGAUUAGAUACCCCCGUAAC
This 448-nucleotide ribosomal RNA is filed under the name uncultured bacterium. RNAcentral describes it as "bacterial SSU rRNA". It matches the Rfam family "Bacterial small subunit ribosomal RNA", at positions 329 to 794 of the family's 1533-position model. The record is from RNAcentral.